This 1436-nucleotide ribosomal RNA is filed under the name Staphylococcus aureus subsp. aureus ST 1413. RNAcentral describes it as "bacterial SSU rRNA". It matches the Rfam family "Bacterial small subunit ribosomal RNA". The record is from RNAcentral. Lineage: Bacteria; Bacillati; Bacillota; Bacilli; Caryophanales; Staphylococcaceae.
ACGUGGAUAACCUACCUAUAAGACUGGGAUAACUUCGGGAAACCGGAGCUAAUACCGGAUAAUAUUUUGAACCGCAUGGUUCAAAAGUGAAAGACGGUCUUGCUGUCACUUAUAGAUGGAUCCGCGCUGCAUUAGCUAGUUGGUAAGGUAACGGCUUACCAAGGCAACGAUGCAUAGCCGACCUGAGAGGGUGAUCGGCCACACUGGAACUGAGACACGGUCCAGACUCCUACGGGAGGCAGCAGUAGGGAAUCUUCCGCAAUGGGCGAAAGCCUGACGGAGCAACGCCGCGUGAGUGAUGAAGGUCUUCGGAUCGUAAAACUCUGUUAUUAGGGAAGAACAUAUGUGUAAGUAACUGUGCACAUCUUGACGGUACCUAAUCAGAAAGCCACGGCUAACUACGUGCCAGCAGCCGCGGUAAUACGUAGGUGGCAAGCGUUAUCCGGAAUUAUUGGGCGUAAAGCGCGCGUAGGCGGUUUUUUAAGUCUGAUGUGAAAGCCCACGGCUCAACCGUGGAGGGUCAUUGGAAACUGGAAAACUUGAGUGCAGAAGAGGAAAGUGGAAUUCCAUGUGUAGCGGUGAAAUGCGCAGAGAUAUGGAGGAACACCAGUGGCGAAGGCGACUUUCUGGUCUGUAACUGACGCUGAUGUGCGAAAGCGUGGGGAUCAAACAGGAUUAGAUACCCUGGUAGUCCACGCCGUAAACGAUGAGUGCUAAGUGUUAGGGGGUUUCCGCCCCUUAGUGCUGCAGCUAACGCAUUAAGCACUCCGCCUGGGGAGUACGACCGCAAGGUUGAAACUCAAAGGAAUUGACGGGGACCCGCACAAGCGGUGGAGCAUGUGGUUUAAUUCGAAGCAACGCGAAGAACCUUACCAAAUCUUGACAUCCUUUGACAACUCUAGAGAUAGAGCCUUCCCCUUCGGGGGACAAAGUGACAGGUGGUGCAUGGUUGUCGUCAGCUCGUGUCGUGAGAUGUUGGGUUAAGUCCCGCAACGAGCGCAACCCUUAAGCUUAGUUGCCAUCAUUAAGUUGGGCACUCUAAGUUGACUGCCGGUGACAAACCGGAGGAAGGUGGGGAUGACGUCAAAUCAUCAUGCCCCUUAUGAUUUGGGCUACACACGUGCUACAAUGGACAAUACAAAGGGCAGCGAAACCGCGAGGUCAAGCAAAUCCCAUAAAGUUGUUCUCAGUUCGGAUUGUAGUCUGCAACUCGACUACAUGAAGCUGGAAUCGCUAGUAAUCGUAGAUCAGCAUGCUACGGUGAAUACGUUCCCGGGUCUUGUACACACCGCCCGUCACACCACGAGAGUUUGUAACACCCGAAGCCGGUGGAGUAACCUUUUAGGAGCUAGCCGUCGAAGGUGGGACAAAUGAUUGGGGUGAAGUCGUAACAAGGUAGCCGUAUCGGAAGGUGCGGCUGGAUCACCUCCUUUCUA